Non-coding RNA from Podarcis lilfordi (Lilford's wall lizard), 81 nucleotides. Lineage: Eukaryota; Metazoa; Chordata; Lepidosauria; Squamata; Lacertidae. The record is from the annotation of a GenBank genome assembly.
GUCGCAAUGUAUUCAAUGAGGCUGGGUCAGUACGUCUGGCUGUUAACCAGAAGGUUGGUGGUUCAAGCCCACCAAGCGAUG